This 335-nucleotide ribosomal RNA is filed under the name uncultured bacterium. Its description in RNAcentral is "bacterial SSU rRNA". It matches the Rfam family "Bacterial small subunit ribosomal RNA", at positions 8 to 334 of the family's 1533-position model. The record is from RNAcentral.
AGGGUUUGAUUAUGGCUCAGGAUGAACGCUAGCUACAGGCUUAACACAUGCAAGUCGAGGGGCAGCGGGAUUGAAGCUUGCUUCAAUUGCCGGCGACCGGCGCACGGGUGAGUAACGCGUAUCCAACCUUCCGUACACUCAGGGAUAGCCUUUCGAAAGAAAGAUUAAUACCUGAUGGUAUCUUAAGCACACAUGUAAUUAAGAUUAAAGAUUUAUCGGUGUACGAUGGGGAUGCGUUCCAUUAGGUAGUAGGCGGGGUAACGGCCCACCUAGCCAACGAUGGAUAGGGGUUCUGAGAGGAAGGUCCCCCACAUUGGAACUGAGACACGGUCCAA